Molecule: non-coding RNA, 946 nt
Filed under: Solea senegalensis (Senegalese sole)
Lineage: Eukaryota; Metazoa; Chordata; Actinopteri; Pleuronectiformes; Soleidae
Description: 12S rRNA
Rfam family: Bacterial small subunit ribosomal RNA
Source: RNAcentral
CAAAGGCUUGGUCCUGACUUUAUUGUCAGCUCUAGCUAUACUUACACAUGCAAGUCUCCGCACCCCCGUGAGAAUGCCCGCGCUCCCUUAUGAGAACUCGGAGCAGGUAUCAGGCACACCUGAGUAGCCCAUGACACCUUGCUUAGCCACACCCCCAAGGGAUUUCAGCAGUGAUAAAUAUUAAGCCAUAAGUGUAAACUUGACUUAAUUAAGGCCAAGAGAGCCGGUAAAACUCGUGCCAGCCCACCCGCGGUGAGACGAGAGGCUCAAGUUGACAAACACGGCACAAAGCGUGGUUAAGGACCCUUACAGACUAAAGUUAAACGCUUCCCAAAGCUGUUAUACGCAUUCGGAAGUAUGAAAUUCAACAACGAAAGUAGCUUUAACACCCCUGAACCCACGAAAGCUAAGAAACAAACUGGGAUUAGAUACCCCACUAUGCUUAGCCGUAAACAUCGAUCUUCACACAAAAUCCGCCCGGGAACUACGAACACGAGUUUGAAACCCAAAGGACUUGGCGGUGCUUAACAUCCACCUAGAGGAGCCUGUUCUAGAACCGAUAACCCCCGUUAAACCUCACCUCCCCUAGUCUAAAACCGCCUAUAUACCACCGUCGCCAGCUUACCCUGCGAAGGCCCCAAAGUAAGCAAAACUAGCACUGCUCAGAACGUCAGGUCGAGGUGUAGCGCAUGAGGAGGGAAGAAAUGGGCUACAUUCGCUACCCCUUAGCGUAUAACGAAUAUCUGCGUUGAAACACGCGUUUGAAGGAGGAUUUAGAAGUAAGCAAAAAAUAGAGCGUUUUGCUGAAACAUGGCACUAAAGCGCGCACAUACCGCCCGUCACUCUCUCCUGUAUUUACCCCAUCUCGCGUAUAUAACAUCACGUUCAAAUCGAGGAGAGGAAAGUCGUAACAUGGUAAGUGUACUGGAAAGUGCACUUGGAUAAC